GGAGAAGGGCCAUAGCUUAGUGGAAGAGCAUCUGCUUUGUAUGCAAAAGGUGCCAGGUUCAAAUUCCAGUCUCUCCA
Non-coding RNA from Podarcis lilfordi (Lilford's wall lizard), 77 nucleotides. The record is from the annotation of a GenBank genome assembly. Lineage: Eukaryota; Metazoa; Chordata; Lepidosauria; Squamata; Lacertidae.